Molecule: ribosomal RNA, 406 nt
Filed under: uncultured bacterium
Lineage: Bacteria
Description: partial 16S ribosomal RNA
Rfam family: Bacterial small subunit ribosomal RNA
Source: RNAcentral
AUUGAACGCUGGCGGCAGGCCUAACACAUGCAAGUCGAACGAGUGGCGGACGGGUGAGUAAUGUCUGGGAAACUGCCCGAUGGAGGGGGAUAACUACUGGACACAGUAGCUAAUACCGCAUACCAUCGGAUGUGCCCAGAUGGGAUUAGCUAGUAGGUGGGGUAACGGCUCACCAAGGCGACGGUCGCUAGCUGGGCUGAGAGGAUGACCAGCCACACUGGAACUGAGACACGGUCCGGACUCCUACGGGAGGCAGCAGUGGGGAAUAUUGCACAAUGGGAGCAAGCCUUAUGCAGCCAUGCCUCGUGGAUGAAGAAGGCCUUCGGGUUGGAAAGGACUUUCAGCGAGGAGGCGUUACGCGCAGAAGAAGCACCGGAUAACUCCGUGCCAGCCGCCGCGGUAAUAC